This is a long non-coding RNA of Rosa chinensis, 731 nucleotides long. RefSeq lists it as uncharacterized. NCBI's taxonomy places the organism in Eukaryota, Viridiplantae, Streptophyta, Magnoliopsida, Rosales, Rosaceae. The record is from RefSeq and is a predicted model, not a curated record. The transcript has 2 exons.
UUCAGCUCCUGUGCUUAUAAGCCAGGUUCAAAUUUGUGUUUGGUAACACAGCUUAUUGGCAGCUUUUUUCAGAAGCUGCUGUGGCUUCCUUAGAUAAGCAGAAGCUGAAGAAUGCAGCUUCCGGAAGCCAGAAGCCACGGAAACACUGUAGCGGUAGUUACUGUAGAUUAAUGAAAAAUCCUAAAUGCCGAAAUUCACCCUUCCAAGCUGAAACAAUUUCAGCUGAACCCUACGCUCAUAUCUUCCUUGUCACUGUUCCCCAUCUCUCUCCCUCAUCACACCCGCAGCAUCAGAAGCUCCCCUGCUCCCCCAUCUCCCUCCCUCAUCACACCCGCACCGCCGCAUCCUCGCAGCUCCCCGUCACCGCUCCCCAUCUCCGUCCGUCAUCAGAGACCGCAGCCCCGACGUCGAUCUACACAUCCGUGUGUCCCUCGUCACAGAUCGAUCUCCGACGCAAGCUCCCCGUCACCGGUCCCCGUCACCGCUCCCACAGAUCGAUCUCUCUUCCGCAUCGAUCUACCCAUCUCUCUGCCCCUCAUCACAGGUCCAGCCCUGGUAGAUUUUCCGUAGGUCGGAUAUGUCAGGCCAAAGUUUUGAUGCUGUAAGGAAGCUGAAGUUAUUCAGAGAUGAAACAUACAGUGCCUUCUAUUUAAUAAGAACUCACCUGAUGGAAAACUUGGUGUCAUUUAUGUACAGAAUAUGAUAAGAGAACAAGGAUUUUCUUAUUGUGA